Molecule: long non-coding RNA, 162 nt
Filed under: Onthophagus taurus
Lineage: Eukaryota; Metazoa; Arthropoda; Insecta; Coleoptera; Scarabaeidae
Description: uncharacterized LOC111423326
Source: RNAcentral
UUUAAAUAUCACCGUUAAUAUAUAACCUUAUUUACGACUUAUACUUUCAUGCGAAGUUUUUUGAACGCCUUUUCUUAUAUUACGACAACGCUUCUGAAGAUGACUAAUUAGUCGAAACAUGUAAAGCGGAUUUACUUAUAAUAAACCAGUAUAAAAGUACAA